Myotis davidii is the source of this 70-nucleotide non-coding RNA. The record is from Rfam. Lineage: Eukaryota; Metazoa; Chordata; Mammalia; Chiroptera; Vespertilionidae.
UGGACCAGUGAUGAAUGUCAUGGGGUUUCUGAAGCAAGAAUUUUGAUUAAAUCUUAAAACUGAGGUCCAU